GACGAACGCUGGCGGCGUGCUUAACACAUGCAAGUCGAACGGAAAGGCCCUGCUUUUGUGGGGUGCUCGAGUGGCGAACGGGUGAGUAACACGUGAGUAACCUGCCCUUGACUUUGGGAUAACUUCAGGAAACUGGGGCUAAUACCGGAUAGGAGCUCCUGCUGCAUGGUGGGGGUUGGAAAGUUUCGGCGGUUGGGGAUGGACUCGCGGCUUAUCAGCUGGUUGGUGGGGUAGUGGCGUACCAAGGCUUUGACGGGUAGCCUGCCUGAGAGGGUGAACGGCCACAAUGGGCCUGCGAUACGGCCCAGACUCCUACGGGCGGCAGCGGUGGGGAGUAUUGCACAAUGGGGGGAAGCCUGAUGCAGCAACGCCGCGUGCGGGAUGCCGGCCUUCGGGUUGUAAACCGCUUUCGACUGUGACGAAGAGUGAGUGACGGUAAUGGGUAAAGAAGCACCGGCUAACUACGUG
Molecule: ribosomal RNA, 468 nt
Filed under: uncultured bacterium
Lineage: Bacteria
Description: partial 16S ribosomal RNA
Rfam family: Bacterial small subunit ribosomal RNA
Source: RNAcentral